Molecule: long non-coding RNA, 491 nt
Organism: Lagopus leucura (white-tailed ptarmigan)
Lineage: Eukaryota; Metazoa; Chordata; Aves; Galliformes; Phasianidae
Exons: 2
Source: RefSeq, a predicted model, not a curated record
AACAGCCAUCUGUGGGAUUACUUUUGGGAGCGGUGUCGGCCGUGGGCAACCCCAGCUCCCCCGAGUCCCUGCGGAGUGUUUUACACUUGUCCUUUUCCUUUCCAGACCAUAAUAGGAGCAGCAGAGGCAGCGCUGACGGGCGGCUUCGGCGACAGGCGCCGGUCUUGCAAGGCGGUCCCCGCGCAUCUCGGGCCACGGAGCUGCAACAGAACCGGGGCUCCCUGUGUGAGUACGAGGACUUAAGCUGCUGCUGCUUGGAGUGGUGUGGUUCCCCUUCUGCUGCUGCCUCGAGCUUACCUUACUGUGGACGAGUGGUCGAUUUUGUCUGCGGGAAGAUGUGCUUGUGAAUACCUCGUGUCUCCAAUUGCUGGCGGUGUCUUACUGGUGGUUUGAGGCUUUCGGGUUCCUGGGUGAAGCUGCUCUGUUCCAGCUUGAAGUCGUGUUCUGGAAUGAGAAGGUUUCUUUGCUCUGUGGAGAGAAAAAAGCAAAAA